RNAcentral lists this transfer RNA (69 nucleotides) under Thienemanniella nipponica. RNAcentral's name for it is "tRNA-Ile". The record is from RNAcentral. Lineage: Eukaryota; Metazoa; Arthropoda; Insecta; Diptera; Chironomidae.
AAUAAAUUGCCUGAUUAAAGGAUUACUUUGAUAGAGUAAAAUAAAUAAUUUUUAAAAUUAUAUUUAUUA